This 101-nucleotide non-coding RNA is filed under the name uncultured Ruminococcus sp. RNAcentral describes it as "THF riboswitch". It matches the Rfam family "THF (Tetrahydrofolate) riboswitch aptamer". Rfam says of the family: THF riboswitch presents a pseudoknot that joins P1-P2 and the loop of P3 and two THF binding. Lineage: Bacteria; Bacillati; Bacillota; Clostridia; Eubacteriales; Oscillospiraceae. The record is from RNAcentral.
CAGAGUAGGAAAUGGUGCGUUAAGUGUUCGGCAGACGGGGAGUUGCUGCCGGGACGAAAAGCGAGACAGAUCGCUUGCGGUACCGUUUCCGCAUCCCGCUG